GGGUGAAGGUAGUGGAUCGAGCGGCGGACGGGUGAGUAACACGUGGGCAACCUGCCUGUAAGACUGGGAUAACUCGCGGAAACGCGAGCUAAUACCGGAUAAUACUUUUUAUCACAUGGUAAGAAGAUGAAAGGCGGCGCAAGCUGUCACUUACAGAUGGGCCCGCGGCGCAUUAGCUAGUUGGUGAGGUAACGGCUCACCAAGGCGACGAUGCGUAGCCGACCUGAGAGGGUGAUCGGCCACACUGGGACUGAGACACGGCCCAGACUCCUACGGGAGGCAGCAGUAGGGAAUCUUCCGCAAUGGACGAAAGUCUGACGGAGCAACGCCGCGUGAGUGAUGAAGGUUUUCGGAUUGUAAAACUCUGUUGUUAGGGAAGAACAAGUACAAGAGUAACUGCUUGUACCUUGACGGUACCUAACCAGAAAGCCCCGGCUAACUACGUGCCAGCAGCCGCGGUAAUACGUAGGGGGCGAGCGUUGUCCGGAAUUAUUGGGCGUAAAGCGCGCGCAGGCGGUUCUUUAAGUCUGAUGUGAAAGCCCACGGCUUAACCGUGGAGGGUCAUUGGAAACUGGAGGACUUGAGUGCAGAAGAGGAGAGUGGAAUUCCACGUGUAGCGGUGAAAUGCGUAGAGAUGUGGAGGAA
RNAcentral lists this ribosomal RNA (645 nucleotides) under Ornithinibacillus bavariensis. RNAcentral describes it as "bacterial SSU rRNA". It matches the Rfam family "Bacterial small subunit ribosomal RNA", at positions 75 to 706 of the family's 1533-position model. Lineage: Bacteria; Bacillati; Bacillota; Bacilli; Caryophanales; Bacillaceae. The record is from RNAcentral.